This 253-nucleotide ribosomal RNA is filed under the name uncultured bacterium. RNAcentral describes it as "partial 16S ribosomal RNA". It matches the Rfam family "Bacterial small subunit ribosomal RNA", at positions 524 to 776 of the family's 1533-position model. The record is from RNAcentral.
UACGUAGGGUGCGAGCGUUGUCCGGAAUUAUUGGGCGUAAAGGGCUCGUAGGCGGUCUGUCACGUCGGGAGUGAAAACUCGGGGCUCAACCCCGAGCCUGCUUCCGAUACGGGCAGACUAGAGGUAUGCAGGGGAGAAUGGAAUUCCUGGUGUAGCGGUGAAAUGCGCAGAUAUCAGGAGGAACACCGGUGGCGAAGGCGGUUCUCUGGGACGGUACUGACGCUGAGACGCGAAAGCGUGGGGAGCGAACAGG